UCGCCCUUGAAUACUCUUUCUCCCAAUUCUCUCUCAAGUUCUUCGGAACCCUAGCCCCCUUCUACAUUUUCUCACCGUACUUUCACGGGAAUCCAUGGCUUUACAGGCCAUAGAUGGUCUAUACUCACCCCUCUCAACCAUUAGACCUUGGGUGUUCAAGAUUUUGAAGUUUGACUUUAAUGGUUCUCUUUCAGAUCUUCUCAGAUCUUUAGUUCCAUGGCUUCUCCGGCCAUGCUCCGGCAUAUUCAAGCACGAGAAGCCUGAUUCCUGACCUCUUCGACCCAGGAUCUGACUUUUUCAAGCCUUUCUCAUUUUUAGAGUUUCUUCGAAAACCUAAGCUACUCGAGGUUCUUUCUCAAUUUUUUUCUUAGAUAUGUGAUGUAUUUGUCAUCUACUGGACAUUCAAAGUAUUUUACCCAAAUUUUCCUUUUCAAAAUCACUUGUCGUCGAUUUAGGGUUUCUGAAAGGUUGUUCAAAAACAUCUUUUCUGAUUCUUUUUCUUCUUCUUCUUUUCUUCAUGUGUGUUUGUCUAUAUCAUGCUCAUGUGUUUCCCUUUUACUACGCGUAUGUGGUUCUUCUGCUUUUCAUUUUCUACUAUUCAUGAUACUCCUGUUGAUUUGUGUUCUACUGUGCCUCUAAGACUAGAUUUGUAUGUUAAUCUUUAAUCUUUACUAUGUUUUCCUACAUGCUCUUCACUAUACUUUUCAGUAUUUUUCUACUAUAUGUGUUUUCUGUUGAGUUCUUUGAUUUUGUUUGCUCUACUGGAGUCUGUUCGUGUUCUAGCUGAAUGUGUGUCAUCCACUGUUUCUUAAAAGUCCUGUUCUGAACUCGCUUAAGUUUCAAACUUUUCUUAAACAUAUACUUUUAUGCUCUUAGAUUGACUUUUCUUUUACCCUGUCGCUUCAAACCUGCUCGUAUGUAUGUUGGUUUCCCAUGAGUCUCUAAAAGAAACCUUUUAGCCUAUUAUUUGUAUUCUCAUCUCUGCUUCAGAUUCAAGUUGAAACCCUAGGAUUCUGGGUUUUCUUUGGCAACUUUACUUUCGUGUCCGAGUUAGGGUUCCACUUUGGGACCCUGGACUCUAAGACUCACUAUGAGUCUACCAACUGAACUUGUAUCCCUUGCUUAUGAUUCUGAACCUUUCAAUGUUAGACUCUUUUCUAAGUAAUAUGACAACUCCUUUUGUUUGAUUUUUCUGCUUUAUAUAUGAGAAAUUCUUCUUUUAAAAGGGGUUUUGUCAACUACUAAUUAAUUCUAAAUUCCUUUAAUAAAGUUUAAUUGAUUGCUACUGAUUUCUUUUAAAUUAAACCUUCUUUACCUUUUCCUGACUUGGUUCAUUCCACUAAAAGCCUGUAAAAUUUGAUUUUACUAGUUGUUUGAUUGAUUCCCUUUCCUUAUUUUUUCACAAACCAAGUACUACUGGACUUUUGCCCUAAAUAACUUCUAUGUAUUUACCCUUUAUUGUACUGCUUGAGAAAAUAUUCUGAUUAACCCUUUCCUUCAUUGUCUUUACCCGUUUGAAAUCGGAGUCCCUUAACUAAAGGGAGAUUGAUUUCAAUAUUAUUUCCUUACCUGUUCUUACUUGCUUGCUGCACUAUUAAAGGGGCACGACCCUUCUAUACUUUGACACACAUCGAUUAUUGAACACUUCAAUUUCAAUAUUCUCACACUCUCAAUUACAAUACUCUUUCAAUACUCUACUAACUUCUGAGAUCUUUUGUACCGUUUGCUUGCAAUUUGGCUUACAAUACUUCUGCUUUCACUUAUUGGUUUCUCUGAAACUGGUAUGUCUCAAUUUUGAUUUCACCUUCUUCCCUAUGUGGUUACUUUACAGUUACUAUACUCUUGUCUCUUUUGUUGUUCAUGUUCUGUAAUGAAUAUGCUACUUUCUCUUUGCAUCUGCUGUUUGUUGUGAAUUUACCAUACCCUCACUCCCUUCUAUGUGUGUGAGUUAAGGCUCAUGGCCUGAUAGUAUCCAAAUUACUACCCAGGUCUGAACCUGAUCCUCAAUAGAUCCUAACUCAUAAGAUUUAGUUAACAUGCUGGUUAGGGGUGUGCCAGCACUCUUAAUUGCUGGCAUGAUCACCAUCGUGCCAUAAAUUUCCCUACCCCUAUAUACACUUACACUUGCUCUUAGACUCUCAGUCCUGCCCCCUCCUAUGAGCCUUGCCUUAGGACCUUGAGUUCCCCCUGAACUUGGACAUUCGAGGGUUGGCCCUUCCACACUACACUAUAAUCUAAUUUUUCAAUGUCUUUGGGGUGUAAGCACUACCUGGAGUCCAAUUGAGGCUCUUGGGAACUUUUACACAUCCCAAAUAAGAGAAAGGCUUUGAAAAUCUGAUCCUGGAA
This 2346-nucleotide long non-coding RNA is filed under the name Nicotiana benthamiana. Its description in RNAcentral is "long non-coding RNA (NBEN_LNC018883)". The record is from RNAcentral. Lineage: Eukaryota; Viridiplantae; Streptophyta; Magnoliopsida; Solanales; Solanaceae.